CACGUAGGGGGCAAGCGUUGUCCGGAUUUAUUGGGCGUAAAGAGCUCGUAGGUGGUUCGGUAAGUCAGGUGUGAAACCUCCAGGCUCAACCUGGAGACGCCACUUGAUACUGCUGUGACUGGAGUCCGGUAGGGGAGCGUGGAAUUCCUGGUGUAGCGGUGAAAUGCGCAGAUAUCAGGAGGAACACCAGCGGCGAAGGCGGCGCUCUGGGCCGGUACUGACGCUGAGGCACGAAAGCGUGGGGAGCAAACAGG
Molecule: ribosomal RNA, 254 nt
Filed under: uncultured bacterium
Lineage: Bacteria
Description: partial 16S ribosomal RNA
Rfam family: Bacterial small subunit ribosomal RNA
Source: RNAcentral